RNAcentral lists this ribosomal RNA (460 nucleotides) under uncultured bacterium. RNAcentral's name for it is "partial 16S ribosomal RNA". It matches the Rfam family "Bacterial small subunit ribosomal RNA", at positions 338 to 795 of the family's 1533-position model. The record is from RNAcentral.
CCUACGGGCGGCAGCAGUGAGGAAUAUUGGUCAAUGGACGAGAGUCUGAACCAGCCAAGUAGCGUGAAGGAUGACUGCCCUAUGGGUUGUAAACUUCUUUUAUAUGGGAAUAAAAUGUUCCACGUGUUGCUUUUUGUAUGUACCAUAUGAAUAAGCAUCGGCUACCUCCGUGCCAGCAGCCGCGGUACUACGGAGGAUCCGAGCGUUAUCCGGAUUUAUUGGGGUUAAAGGGAGCGUAGGUGGAUUGUUAAGUCAGCUGUGAAAGUUUGCGGCGCAACCGUAAAAUUGCAGUUGAAACUGGCAGUCUUGAGUACAGUAGAGGUGGGCGGAAGUCGUGGUGUAGCGGUGAAAUGCUUAGAUAUCACGAAGAACUCCGAUUGCGAAGGCAGUUCACUGGACUGCAACUGACACUGAGGCUCGAAAGUGUGGGUAUCAAACAGGAUUAGAUACCCGAGUAGUC